Molecule: unclassified non-coding RNA, 257 nt
Filed under: Pleosporormiella terricola
Lineage: Eukaryota; Fungi; Ascomycota; Dothideomycetes; Pleosporales; Sporormiaceae
Description: Preussia terricola partial internal transcribed spacer region
Rfam family: Eukaryotic small subunit ribosomal RNA (bases 1-46)
Source: RNAcentral
AAGUCGUAACAAGGUUUCCGUAGGUGAACCUGCGGAAGGAUCAUUAUCGUGGGGCUUCGGCCCCGUCGAGAUAGCACCCUUGCCUUUAUGAGUACCUUGGUUCCCUCCCCCGUACCUCCGGGGAGCGGGAGGGGCCUCGUCUGUUUCCCCGCGGCGGCGAAAGCCCCCGGGGACCACGAAACACGCUGUAACCACCUGUAACCGUCUGAUAAACAAACAAAAAAUCAAAACUUUCAACAACGGAUCUCUUGGUUCUG